RNAcentral lists this transfer RNA (69 nucleotides) under Ephemera serica. Its description in RNAcentral is "tRNA-Val". The record is from RNAcentral. Lineage: Eukaryota; Metazoa; Arthropoda; Insecta; Ephemeroptera; Ephemeridae.
CAAAGCAGAGCUUGAGAGUUAAGUAUUUCAUUUACACUGAAAUUAUAUCGUGCAAAUCGAUUGUUUUGA